CGGGAACUCAAAGGAGACUGCCAGUGAUAAACUGGAGGAAGGUGGGGAUGACGUCAAGUCAUCAUGGCCCUUACGAGUAGGGCUACACACGUGCUACAAUGGCAUAUACAAAGAGAAGCGACCUCGCGAGAGCAAGCGGACCUCAUAAAGUAUGUCGUAGUCCGGAUUGGAGUCUGCAACUCGACUCCAUGAAGUCGGAAUCGCUAGUAAUCGUAGAUCAGAAUGCUACGGUGAAUACGUUCCCGGGCCUUGUACACACCGCCCGUCACACCAUGGGAGUGGGUUGCAAAAGAAGUAGGUAGCUUAACCUUCGGGAGGGCGCUUACCACUUUGUGAUUCAUGACUGGGGUGAAGUCGUAACAAGGUAACCGUAGGGGAACCUGCGGUUGGAUCACCUCCUUACCUGAAAGAA
Molecule: ribosomal RNA, 412 nt
Filed under: Klebsiella sp. Lac1
Lineage: Bacteria; Pseudomonadati; Pseudomonadota; Gammaproteobacteria; Enterobacterales; Enterobacteriaceae
Description: bacterial SSU rRNA
Rfam family: Bacterial small subunit ribosomal RNA
Source: RNAcentral